AAGAUUAAGCCAUGCAUGUGUAAGUGCAAGCCGUACUAAGGCGAAACCGCGAAAGGCUCAUUACAUCAGUUGUGGUUCCUUGGACUGUACCCAGUUACUUGGAUAACUGCGGAAAAUCUGGAGCUAAUACAUGCCGACAGAGUCCCGACCAGAGAUGGGAGGGACGCUUUUAUUAGAUCAAAACCAAAAAUCCCCCUUCUCGGGGGAAAAGGUUUAAGGUGACUCUGAAUAACUUUGUGCCGAUCGCACGGCCUCCGCGCCGGCGACGCGUCUUUCAAAUGUCUGCCUUAUCAACUUUCGAUGGUAGGCUCUGCGCCUACCAUGGUUGUAACGGGUGACGGGGAAUCAGGGUUCGAUUCCGGAGAGGGAGCCUGAGAAACGGCUACCACAUCCAAGGAAGGCAGCAGGCGCGCAAAUUACCCACUCCCGGCUCGGGGAGGUAGUGACGAAAGAUAACGAUGCAGGACUCAUUCGAGGCCCUGUAAUCGGAAUGACUACAUUUUAAAUCUCUUAAGGAGUAUCAAUUGGAGGGCAAGUCUGGUGCCAGCAGCCGCGGUAAUUCCAGCUCCAAUAGCGUAUAUUAAAGCUGUUGCGGUUAAAAAGCUCGUAGUUGGAUCUGUGCCCCGCACCGCUGGUCCCCGCCUUGCGGAGCGACUAGCAGGUUUGUGGGGCGUCCUGCCGGUGGGAGGUCUUGCCGGCGGCGGCUGUCUCUGCUCGUGGCUUUUUCCGGUUCUGCGGUGUGCGCGCCCGCGUUCAGUCGGCCUGGCGACAGGUACGGCGGCGGUGCCGUCCCCAGUCCUCGGGGCCCGGGCGGGCCGUCGAUGCGCGCGCUCCCGGUCGAACGAUCCUGCCGAAGGUGCUCUUCACCGAGUGUCGAGGUGGGCCGGCAUGUUUACUUUGAACAAAUUAGAGUGCUUAAAGCAGGCUGGACUCGCCUGAAUGCUGUGUGCAUGGAAUAAUGGAAUAGGACCUCGCUCCUAUUUUCUUUUGGUUUUCUGGAGCAGAGGUAAUGAUUAACGGAGACAGGCGGGGGCAUUCGUAUUGCGACGUUAGAGGUGAAAUUCUUGGAUCGUCGCAAGACGAACAGAAGCGAAAGCAUUUGCCAAGGAUGUUCUCGUUGAUCAAGAACGAAAGUCAGAGGUUCGAAGGCGAUCAGAUACCGCCCUAAUUCUGACCGUAAACGCUGCCAUCUGGUUAUUCGCCCACGUUACAACUUACAUGACUGGGCGAGCAACCCUCGGGAAACCAAAGAUUUUGGGUUCCGGGGGAAGUAUGGUUGCAAAGCUGAAACUUAAAGGAAUUGACGGAAGGGCACCACCAGGAGUGGAGCCUGCGGCUUAAUUUGACUCAACACGGGAAACCUCACCAGGCCCGGACACUGGAAGGAUUGACAGAUUGAUAGCUCUUUCUUGAUUCAGUGGGUGGUGGUGCAUGGCCGUUCUUAGUUGGUGGAGYGAUUUGUCUGGUUAAUUCCGAUAACGAACGAGACUCUAGCCUGCUAACUAGUCGGAUCCGGCUUCCUUCGGGCAGCCGGCGAUGACAAAGAUCUUCUUAGAGGGACAGGCGGCUCUGAGCCGCAUGAGAAUGAGCAAUAACAGGUCUGUGAUGCCCUUAGAUGUCCUGGGCCGCACGCGCGCUACAAUGAGGACUGCAGCGCGUAUUCCUUGGCCGAAAGGUCCGGGUAACCGCUGAAAUGUGCUCUUAAUGGGGACUGUGGAUUGAAAUUAUUCCACAUGAACGAGGAAUACCCAGUAAAAGCGUGUCAUCAGCACGCUUUGAUUACGUCCCUGCCCUUUGUACACACCGCCCGUCGCUACUACCGAUUGAAUGAUUUAGUGAGGUCCUCGGACUGGCGCGCGAGAGUCCCGUAUAGGACCCUCGAGGCACCGGGAAGUUGACCGAACUUGAUCAUUUAGAGGAAGUAAAAGUCGUAACAAGGUUGCCGUAGGUGAACCUG
This 1957-nucleotide ribosomal RNA is filed under the name Kladothrips antennatus. Its description in RNAcentral is "SSU rRNA". It matches the Rfam family "Eukaryotic small subunit ribosomal RNA". The record is from RNAcentral. Lineage: Eukaryota; Metazoa; Arthropoda; Insecta; Thysanoptera; Phlaeothripidae.